Non-coding RNA from Coturnix japonica (Japanese quail), 2271 nucleotides. Lineage: Eukaryota; Metazoa; Chordata; Aves; Galliformes; Phasianidae. The record is from RefSeq and is a predicted model, not a curated record.
AAAAAAAAAAAAAAGUAUUAAAAAUGUGACACGCUCCAUCUAGUGUCUUACCUGAGCCAUGAGCCUGAACUGCCAUGGGAUGGGCUGUGCUGUGCAGUGGGGACAUCAGCCCCGAGUCUCUUUAGGGACAGUAAUGGGGCAGUGUUACUGACACAGUCACAUCCCCACAUCCCUCCUGCUGUGUGCCAGCAGCAGACCUGCACUGUAAUGUGGGAGCAGCACUGGGGUGAGAAUGCACUUGAAGGACUUGGGAGAGUGUUUCUCAGCGCAUGCAGAAAAUUAAAGAAAAAAGAAGUUUCAUUUGAGCAAUGGAUCACAAAAAAGAACCUGUUUGCUCUCCUGGAGGAGACCGAGCAGCUCCACAGCUGCGUUAUUGCCAGUAACGAGCUCAGCACCGUGUAGCAGCUGCAGGUGAGCCACUGCCCCACACAGCAUGCAGCCGGGCUGAGGGGCAGCGUGCACAGAGCUGUCUUCAACGGAGGGGAAAAAAAGGUAGGCCAAGGGGUAAACACGCUAUUCUCCUGCAAUUUGCUCUGAAAUGUAAUUAGGAAAAAAAAUCCCUUUAGUGGUGUCUCAGAUGACCCUCAGAGCAGGGGUGCAGGGUGGGCGCACGGUGCUCCUUGCCGUGCCCUCAGGACUGCGCCCUGGCUGCGGUGAGGGGACGUGCCCAAGACACCCCGCACCGUCCGGCUGCGUCCUGAGCUGAGGCUGGGCCUUCAGGUGGCGCUGUGAGGACAUGUUGUGAGGCGGCGCCAUGUUGUCGCGUGACGCCGUGUUGUGAGGCGGCGCCAUUUUGUCAGGUGACGCCAUGUUGUGAGGCGGCGCCAUGUUGUCGGGUGACGCCAUGUUGUCGCCGGGCGCCGUAAGGUGAUGCCGCGUUGUGAGAUUGUCAUCAGAAUCUCCCAAGUAUUUCUAAUACCAAGAUGGGCUCCCACAAGGGCGGACUUGAUGACAGCUCAUUAAAGUUUGAAAUAAGUGGAAAACAUGGGCCUGUUGGACCUGCGGUUGUGCUGAAACAGUGUACAGCAGGAGUCCAAGUGGGAGAGGAAAUCUGUGUGUGACCAGUGACACCAGGAGAUAAAUAAGCAGCGGGAAUCAGUACGUGCUUCCUUGGAGCAGCCAAGAGAAGAUGCAUUCCCACGGUGUCAUCAAAGGAGCUGCAUCAUCCAGCACCAGAUUUUCCUAUUAACCAGAUCAACAGGCUGAGUCUGGCAGCUCUGUACACCAGCUCUCGUGACUCCAGCUGAUACAUUCACAUCAUGAGAAGGUCCGGACCAGGAGUGGUGCUGUUUGCUGCUGCCCGCACUGGAGGCCGUGCUCAGCGGGCAGAGUAGGAUGUGAGCUCUUUGAAAUUAGCCCUAGGUCAGCCACCAGCCAUGGAGAAAAGUUUAAUGUAGUUCUAGGAUUGAAGGAAAUUACACCGAAGCUCUUUUUCUCUAGAGAGAUUUUUAAUUUGAAUCAAAAUACAGUAUGUUUACAGCACAACAUUAGAAUCCGUGUUCCGAUAUUUCACAGUAUGUUAGUUUCCUUUUAUUAAUUAUAAAUAAAUUCUGAAUACUAGGACAGUGUUUUCAGAUGUACCAUAAAAAUGACUACUUACAACCAUUACUACAGAGAAACAAUUACAAAGGUAAGAAUGUAAACAUUUCAGCUAAAGUCUUCAAAAUUGCAGCAGGCACCACCUACCAUCGCAGGACCCAGCAAUGCAGGAACAGCACAGGACACAAGGCAAACACAGUCCAUUCUGAGUGUGCAUGUACCACAAAGGACCACAGAGAUCCCCUUAAACUGGGAGAACUGCUGCAGAAACUCAUAGAGCCAUUCUGAGGGACAGAUUUUGCGAGGAGCAGCACUGGGUGCCUGCAGCUGUUGUGUUUCUGUAGGUAACGCUGAAUGAAAAGAACUACCAGCCGUACCGUCAGGCCUCUCCCAGUUCUCCUUGUCCAGUUCCUCUGUGUUCCCACGUGCUUCUGCAUUGUACGCUGGUUUAUCAGAGGGUGGAGGCGGAGCUCUCCUCUUCUUCCCUCUGCCAUCAUUAGCACUUGCAGCAUGCAGAUUUUUCUGAACAACCAUCUCAUGAGAUCCAUCAAAGAGCGAAGCCCAUAAGGAAGAUGCGGGCUCUUUUUGCUGGCAAAGCAGGAACUCACCAUCUCUCUCUUCAAUUUUUCUUUGUAUGAUAUCAGCUAAGCCCUCAUGUUUCACUGGAGAAUCAAUGCCUGUAAUUUUAAGGGACAGCAAUUAACUCAAAUUAAAAUGCUACCCAUGACUUUA